CCGUUUUCCCAGCGGAGUAAUAGAAUGAAGCUCGCCGGAUUGAGUGUUUAGCUGUUAACUAAAAUAUUACGGGAUCAAGGCCCGUCUUUCUAG
RNAcentral lists this transfer RNA (93 nucleotides) under Quasipaa boulengeri (spiny-bellied frog). Its description in RNAcentral is "tRNA-Asn". The record is from RNAcentral. Lineage: Eukaryota; Metazoa; Chordata; Amphibia; Anura; Dicroglossidae.